UAGCAAGCCAUAUGCAGAAGAGGUCAUCAUAACUUGUAGAAAGAUCAAUAGGGGACCAACGUCAUGAGGCUAAUACUGAACCUUGGAGUUUCUGACUCUGCAACCAAUAAGCCCCAGAAACAUGAAGAGGCCAAUGACAAAGUUUGCUUCACCAACCAAUCAAUAUUUAUACGGCAUUAUUGAGGAGAACAAUUGAAGCAUCUACGGGAUCAAAGGAAGAGACUGUUGCCUAUAGCAACAAUAUGUGGAAUUACUAGUUCCCUGAGCCAGGUGUUCAUAUUUUAUUGUGGCUAGAUGUGCAAAUGAAAAAUCAAGCAGAAAAGAGAAUUAGAUCAAAUCAAGUGAGUCAUCUAUAAUGAGACGAGGCUCUUUACAAAAUGUUAAGGGGGUAAAUUCAAGUCCAUCUAUUCACCAGUAGGAUAUCUUAAUUAAAAUAGUAUUGUGCACUAAUAAAAUGUACCUCACUAAACAAUAGCGGAAAUAGAUGUAUAACUGAAGAUAGCUUCUGUUCUAAAAGUCUCUUCAGAUCGUUAACAGUGAGAAUACAUCUACAGGGCAUCCAGGUGAUGAAUAUUGGAUCUCAAAAACUAGCUGUGAUACUGAACUCCUCUCUCAAGUUUGUUUUCAACAAGAAAGGUCAAGUGAAGAAAUGAGGAAGACGUUGUAAAAUAAGUUCAUGAAGGAGAGAUGAAAAUUCAAACUCUCUUUGUGAUUUUAAGCCUUUGUAUAAAUAAGACAAGUUAAGAGACAACAGUUCAGCCAUGCAGAGAUGUAACAUCUAUGAUAAGAGUCAUCUUUGAAAAGGGUUAGUCCUUUAAAGAGACUAUCAUCAGGGAGUGAAGGUUAUUUCUGGUCCCUGUUUCAGCUGAGCAGAGGAGUCGCAGCAGCAGAAUUAGAACUCGAACCUCCUACUUAGGGCUCACACAGACUUUCCGUUGGCGACUGCAUUGGGGUGCAUCUCUAAUCAGCUUGCGCGGAAAAUGGAUGCAGUGAGUCAAAUGAAGACGGUCUAUGAAUUAGACCAGGGCUGAGAGGACACAGAACGGGGCUGGAGAUGAGACAAUGAUGAUUCUUGCUUCAAGACAGCUGC
Molecule: long non-coding RNA, 1090 nt
Organism: Mauremys reevesii (Reeves's turtle)
Lineage: Eukaryota; Metazoa; Chordata; Testudines; Geoemydidae
Exons: 3
Source: RefSeq, a predicted model, not a curated record